UGGGAUUUCCCUUCUGGGUUUCUGUUUAAGGUUUUAAAAACGUGUCUGCUAGAGAGAGGUUUCCACACCCUUAUAAGGAAUGCUUCGUUCUCCUCUCCAACUGACGUGGGACCUUAUGAAAAAAAAUUUCAAACAGCCUUUAAAUUAAAACCUACAUUCUGAAAACUCUUCCUAUAGGCUCCUAAAAUAUCAUAAACCCAAAGUCAGGUGACCUUCUUCAAGUUACUCCAAAACAAAACCAGCAACACCAAUUGAAUCAAUACAUGCCAGUUCCAAUGGUAUUAGCUAGAGGG
Long non-coding RNA from Cucurbita maxima (winter squash), 293 nucleotides. RefSeq lists it as uncharacterized. Lineage: Eukaryota; Viridiplantae; Streptophyta; Magnoliopsida; Cucurbitales; Cucurbitaceae. The record is from RefSeq and is a predicted model, not a curated record. The transcript has 2 exons.